RNAcentral lists this ribosomal RNA (406 nucleotides) under uncultured bacterium. RNAcentral describes it as "partial 16S ribosomal RNA". It matches the Rfam family "Bacterial small subunit ribosomal RNA", at positions 30 to 526 of the family's 1533-position model. The record is from RNAcentral.
AUUGAACGCUGGCGGCAGGCCUAACACAUGCAAGUCGAACGAGUGGCGGACGGGUGAGUAAUGUCUGGGAACCUGCCUAAUGGAGGGGGAUAACUACUGGAAACGGUGGCUAAUACCGCAUACCAUCAGAUGGGCCCAGAUGGGAUUAGCUAGUUGGUGGGGUAAAGGCUCACCAAGGCGACGAUCCCUAGCUGGUCUGAGAGGAUGACCAGCCACACGGGGACUGAGACACGGCCCAGACUCCUACGGGAGGCAGCAGUGGGGAAUAUUGGACAAUGGGCGAAAGCCUGAUGCAGCCAUGCCGCGUGUAUGAAGAAGGCCUUCGGGUUGUAAAGUACUUUUGGCGGGGAAGCGGUAUCUGCAGAAGAAGCACCGGCUAACUACGUGCCAGCAGCCGCGGUAAUUC